AAUCAACGCUGGCGGCGUGCCUCAGACAUGCAAGUCGAACGCGAAAUUUCCCUUCGGGGAGAAAGUAGAGUGGCGCACGGGUGAGUAACACGUAGGUAAUUUGCCUUUGGGUGGGGAAUAACUCAGGGAAACUUGAGCUAAUACCGCAUAAUGCAGCGGCUCGACAUCGAGACAGUUGUUAAAGCGGGGGAUUGGAGCAAUCCGACCUCGCGCCUAAAGAGAAGCCUGCGGCAGAUUAGCUAGUUGGUAAGGUAAUGGCUUACCAAGGCGACGAUCCGUAACCGGCCUGAGAGGGCGGUCGGUCACACUGACACUGACAUACGGGUCAGACUCCUACGGGAGGCAGCAGUCGGGAAUUUUGGGCAAUGGGCGCAAGCCUGACCCAGCAACGCCGCGUGAAGGAUGAAAUUUUUCGGAAUGUAAACUUCGCAAGAACAGAAGAAUAAGUGUGGACAAUACCCACAUGAUGACGGUACUGUUUGUAAGCUCCGGCUAACUCCGUG
This 503-nucleotide ribosomal RNA is filed under the name uncultured bacterium. RNAcentral describes it as "bacterial SSU rRNA". It matches the Rfam family "Bacterial small subunit ribosomal RNA", at positions 32 to 507 of the family's 1533-position model. The record is from RNAcentral.